UACGAGGGGGGCGAGCGUUGUUCGGAAUUAUUGGGCGUAAAGGGUGCGUAGGCGGUUUGGUAAGUCUGAUGUGAAAUCUAUGGGCUCAACUCAUAGUCUGCAUCGGAAACUGCCGGGCUUUGAGUGUGGGAGAGGUGAGUGGAAUUCCUGGUGUAGCGGUGAAAUGCGUAGAUAUCAGGAGGAACACCUGUGGCGAAAGCGGCUCACUGGACCAUAACUGACGCUGAUGCACGAAAAGCUAGGGGGAGCAAACAGG
RNAcentral lists this ribosomal RNA (256 nucleotides) under uncultured bacterium. RNAcentral's name for it is "partial 16S ribosomal RNA". It matches the Rfam family "Bacterial small subunit ribosomal RNA", at positions 524 to 776 of the family's 1533-position model. The record is from RNAcentral.